Molecule: ribosomal RNA, 468 nt
Filed under: uncultured bacterium
Lineage: Bacteria
Description: partial 16S ribosomal RNA
Rfam family: Bacterial small subunit ribosomal RNA
Source: RNAcentral
GACGAACGCUGGCGGCGUGCUUAACACAUGCAAGUCGAACGGAAAGGCCCUGCUUUUGUGGGGUGCUCGAGUGGCGAACGGGUGAGUAACACGUGAGUAACCUGCCCUUGACUUUGGGAUAACUUCAGGAAACUGGGGCUAAUACCGGAUAGGAGCUCCUGCUGCAUGGUGGGGGUUGGAAAGUUUCGGCGGUUGGGGAUGGACUCGCGGCUUAUCAGCUUGUUGGUGGGGUAGUGGCUUACCAAGGCUUUGACGGGUAGCCGGCCUGGGAGGGUGACCGGCAACAUGGGGCCGGAGUGAGGCCCCGGACUCGGAGGGGGGAAACAAGGGGGGAGUAUGGAACAGGGGGCGGAGGCCGAAGGCGGCAACCCCGCGUGCGGGAUGCCGGCUUGCGGUUUGAAAACCGCUUCCGCCUGGGACGAAGGGGGAGUGACGGUAAGGGGAAAAGAAGCACGGGCAAACUACGUG